Molecule: transfer RNA, 72 nt
Filed under: Camelus bactrianus (Bactrian camel)
Lineage: Eukaryota; Metazoa; Chordata; Mammalia; Artiodactyla; Camelidae
Also listed under: 2 other names
Rfam family: tRNA
About the family: Transfer RNA (tRNA) molecules are approximately 80 nucleotides in length. Their secondary structure includes four short double-helical elements and three loops (D, anti-codon, and T loops).
Source: Rfam by way of RNAcentral
GAGGGUAUAGCUCAGUGGUAAAACGCAUGCUCAGCAUGCAUGAAGUCUCGGGUUCAAUCCCCAGUACCUCCA